RNAcentral lists this ribosomal RNA (465 nucleotides) under uncultured bacterium. RNAcentral describes it as "partial 16S ribosomal RNA". It matches the Rfam family "Bacterial small subunit ribosomal RNA", at positions 339 to 795 of the family's 1533-position model. The record is from RNAcentral.
CUACGGGAGGCUCCAGUGGGGAAUAUUGGACAAUGGGGGAAACCCUGAUCCAGCAAUGCCGCGUGUGUGAAGAAGGCCUGCGGGUUGUAAAGCACUUUCGGUUGGGAGGACUGCUUCUAGCACUAAUAUUGUUGGAAGUUGACGUUACCUUCAGAAGAAGCACCGGUUAACUCCGUGCCAGCAGCCGCGGUAAUACGGAGGGUGCAAGCGUUAAUCGGAAUUACUGGGCGUAAAGCGCGCGUAGGCGGCUAGAUCAGUCGGGUGUGAAAGCCCCGGGCUUAACCUGGGAACUGCAUCCGAUACUGUCUAGCUUGAGUACAGGAGAGGAGAGUGGAAUUCCACAUGUAGCGGUGAAAUGCGUAGAUAUGUGGAGGAACACCAAUGGCGAAGGCAGCUCUCUGGCCUGAUACUGACGCUGAGGUGCGAAAGCGUGGGGAUCAAACAGGAUUAGAUACCCGUGUAGUC